RNAcentral lists this ribosomal RNA (427 nucleotides) under uncultured bacterium. RNAcentral's name for it is "partial 16S ribosomal RNA". It matches the Rfam family "Bacterial small subunit ribosomal RNA", at positions 355 to 774 of the family's 1533-position model. The record is from RNAcentral.
UGGGGAAUAUUGCACAAUGGGCGCAAGCCUGAUGCAGCCAUGCCGCGUGUAUGAAGAAGGCCUUCGGGUUGUAAAGUACAUUCAGCGGGGAGGAAGGUGUUGAGGCUAAUAACCUCAGCAAUUGACGUUACCCGCAGAAGAAGCACCGGCUAACUCCGUGCCAGCAGCCGCGGUAAUACGGAGGGUGCAAGCGUUAAUCGGAAUUACUGGGCGUAAAGCGCACGCAGGCGGUCUGUCAAGUCGGAUGUGAAAUCCCCGGGCUCAACCUGGGAACUGCAUCCGAAACUGGCAGGCUAGAGUCUUGUAGAGGGGGGUAGAAUUCCAGGUGUAGCGGUGAAAUGCGUAGAGAUCUGGAGGAAUACCGGUGGCGAAGGCGGCCCCCUGGACAAAGACUGACGCUCAGGUGCGAAAGCGUGGGGAGCAAACA